UGGUGAGUAUCAUCUUUGAUGGAGUAGGUGUUGAAUCAGAGAAAAGUGAGAUAACAAGGUCUUUGCUGGUGGAGUUUUCUGAGAAAUCGGAAAUCUCGGAGGAUUCAUCAGAAUGUUGUUACUCUAUGGUGACCGAUGAAUGUAGUGCAGGUAAAGAGAAGGUAUCAUCAUCAUCAUCAUCAUCAUCAUCAUCAUGCAUUGAUGAUGAUAAUUCAUCUGUUUGGUCAAUCCAAGUAAAUGCAAGCACCCAUGAUGAAGAUGACGAAACAACUAUUGAAGAAAUGGGAGAUGAUUACCAUGAAGAUGCAGAAGAAAUGGGUGAUGAUGAUGAUGG
This 334-nucleotide long non-coding RNA is filed under the name Gossypium raimondii (Peruvian cotton). RNAcentral describes it as "long non-coding RNA (GRAI_LNC001744)". The record is from RNAcentral. Lineage: Eukaryota; Viridiplantae; Streptophyta; Magnoliopsida; Malvales; Malvaceae.